GUUACCGUGGUGCAGUAGGCGGCGGGAAUACGUGGGGUGCGAGCGUUAAUCGGAAGUACUUGGCGUAAAGCGUGCGCAGGCGGUGUUGUAAGACAGGCGUGAAAUCCCCGGGCUUAACCUGGGAACUGCGUUUGUGACUGCAAGACUAGAGUACGGCAGAGGGGGGUGGAAUUCCACGUGUAGCAGUGAAAUGCGUAGAGAUGUGGAGGAACACCAAUGGCGAAGGCAGCCCCCUGGGUCGAUACUGACGCUCAUGCACGAAAGCGUGGGUAGCAAACAGGAUUAGAUACCCCAGUAGUC
Molecule: ribosomal RNA, 300 nt
Filed under: uncultured Sulfophobococcus sp.
Lineage: Archaea; Thermoproteati; Thermoproteota; Thermoprotei; Desulfurococcales; Desulfurococcaceae
Description: bacterial SSU rRNA
Rfam family: Bacterial small subunit ribosomal RNA
Source: RNAcentral